CGGGUGCACUGAUCCAGCCGGGCCUUUCCCUCUGUGGAACCCCAUGGCCUUCACUGGCUGUGGCGGGGAAACAGGACUUUUACUUUGAAAAAAUUAGAGUGCUCCAGGCAGGCCUAUGCUCGAAUACAUUAGCAUGGAAUAAUAGAAUAGGACGUGUGGUUCUAUUUUGUUGGUUUCUAGGACCGCCGUAAUGAUUAAUAGGGACAGUCGGGGGCAUCAGUAUUCAAUUGUCAGAGGUGAAAUUCUUGGAUCUAUUGAAGACUAACUACUGCGAAAGCAUUUGCCAAGGAUGUUUUCAUUGAUAAGGAACGAAAGUUAGGGGAUCGAAGACGAUCAGAUACCGUCGUAGUCUUAACUAUAAACUAUGCCGACUAGGGAUCGGACGAUGUUAUUCUUUGACGCGUUCGGCACCUUUCGAGAAAUCAAAGUGCUUGGGCUCCAGGGGGAGUAUGGUCGCAAGGCUGAAACUUAAAGAAAUUGACGGAAGGGCACCACCAGGGGUGGAACCUGCGGCUUAAUUUGACUCAACACGGGGAAACUCACCAGGUCCAGACACAGUGAGGAUUGACAGAUUGAGAGCUCUUUCUUGAUUCUGUGGGUGGUGGUGCAUGGCCGUUCUUAGUUGGUGGAGUGAUUUGUCUGCUUAAUUGCGAUAACGAACGAGACCUUAACCUGCUAAAUAGCCCGUACUGCUUUGGCAGUUCGCCGGCUUCUUAGAGGGACUAUCGG
RNAcentral lists this ribosomal RNA (729 nucleotides) under uncultured eukaryote. RNAcentral describes it as "SSU rRNA". It matches the Rfam family "Eukaryotic small subunit ribosomal RNA", at positions 670 to 1426 of the family's 1831-position model. The record is from RNAcentral.